This 451-nucleotide ribosomal RNA is filed under the name uncultured bacterium. RNAcentral describes it as "bacterial SSU rRNA". It matches the Rfam family "Bacterial small subunit ribosomal RNA", at positions 330 to 795 of the family's 1533-position model. The record is from RNAcentral.
GCCAGACUCCUACGGGAGGCAGCAGUGGGGAAUAUUGCACAAUGGGGGGAACCCUGAUGCAGCAAUGCCGCGUGGGUGAAGAAGUACCCCGGUAUGUAAAGCUCUGUCAGCAGGGAAGAAAGAAAUGACGGUACCUGACCAAGAAGCCCCGGCUAACUACGUGCCAGCAGCCGCGGUAAUACGUAGGGGGCAAGCGUUAUCCGGAAUUACUGGGUGUAAAGGGAGCGUAGACGGUUAAGUAAGUCUGGAGUGAAAGGCCGGGGCCCAACCCCGGGACUGCUCUGGAAACUAUUCAACUUGAGUGCAGGAGAGGUAAGCGGAAUUCCUAGUGUAGCGGUGAAAUGCGUAGAUAUUAGGAGGAACACCAGUGGCGAAGGCGGCGUACUGGACUGUAACUGACGUUGAGGCUCGAAAGCGUGGGGAGCAAACAGGAUUAGAUACCCUUGUAGUA